Long non-coding RNA from Prosopis cineraria, 1934 nucleotides. RefSeq lists it as uncharacterized. The transcript is spliced from 2 exons. The record is from RefSeq and is a predicted model, not a curated record. NCBI's taxonomy places the organism in Eukaryota, Viridiplantae, Streptophyta, Magnoliopsida, Fabales, Fabaceae.
CUUAAGUAGAAUUGAUAACCAGAAGAUAGCUUCAUAGUUGUUUUAAACAAGUGUUAUCUCCUUUCUCUGUUUUCCAUGCCUUCUUUUUCCUUUUUUAAAAUGAUUUUUAAGUCAUGGUGGACAAGGCUGGCACCAACAAGAUCCCAAUCCCAUGGGAGCCUCAUUGAUACCAUACCCUUCUCACCUACCUACAUUACUAGAAUGAGAUCCUUCAGAUCAGCUCACAACCAAUAUUCUAAUGACCACCUCCUUCCUCUAUACAUGAAUGCGAGCUCUUUUGAGUUAGAAACACUGAGACUCAACACUAAGAAUUCCUCAAGCCUUUCAAAACUUUUCAUUGGCUUGGCCUUUCAGGCUGCUCUGGCUCAGUUUCAGACAAUUUCUUCUCCUUCUUCUUCAUCAGGGUCAUCAUCUAAGGAUCUAACUCCUUUUUUUGGGGCAGCAAUGGUUAUUGCCUUUGCAGCUUCACUCUCUGGAUAUUUUCUGAGUCAAUCUAAUCCAAGGCUUGCAGCUUUAGUUGAAAGAGCUGGUUGUUUCUGUUUCACAAUAGGUUUAUUUGUGAUGACUAAAACUUUUCUUUCAGGAAGUUUGGUUAUGAAGGUCAUGGGUUGGCUAGCUGGGGCUUUCCCCAUGUUAGCCUUCCUCAGAUCUUGUCUUGCAUAAAGACUAUGAAUCUGUAGGAGCUUCAAAACCUCUGAACUUAGUAAAAUGAUCGAUUGAUUAUUGCCUAAUUUAGACAGAAUGAUCUAUUGAUUAUCGCCUCAAUUUAGGCAGGUAAGUAUCAUUAUACUAAGUAAAUGAGAUGUUGUGGCUUCUACAUUAUGCAGCCAUCCCUAUAUGUGAUGGCAUGUCCUAGGACCAUUUACUUUACCCUUAUCUCCAACUUGCAUAGUUCUAUAUACUUCGCUGAGGGAUUACCAUUUAUAUGAAAUGUUAUCCCACCAUGGCAAAAUAUAUUUGAAAACCUUGCCAGUUAUUUUGUCAUGGUUUCUCACUCUAGCCAAACUACUAUGUAUCCUCAAUUAUCACUUCUCUGACAACAACCUUUUAUAUGGCAACUGCAGGAAUAAGGCCUUAAUGUCACGGAUGACCCGUGACAUUAAGCUGUGUUUAUAUAACAAACCUUUUACACCCAAUAUAGGUGGAAAUUAAACCUCACUUAACUUGGUGUUUUAGGUGGUGAGAUCCACUACACACCCCAUCUGAAUCAUAUUACAUCAUUGGUCUAUGUGGUAAGAAAUUUAGCCAUGGAUAUGUAUAUCUUUAGAGUCUAUGAGGCCUGCUUAUUAAUGGUCUAUGGCUCUAUAGGUCUAAAGAUAUGGCUUCCUGAGCCAAAGAAAAUAGCCCAAAUGAGGGAAUUUCUUUAAUUCUCUUUAAGGCAUUAUGUCUAUUUAUGGCUUCAUACUUUCCAGAAACCGACCAUUGACCAGCAAUCUCGGAUCAGUUUGGAUAACACAAUACAAACUAGUCAGUGUCUCAUUGCUUGACAAAGUUCUACAUGCAGCUUGGAGGUUCUCAUCUAUCCUGCAGAAGACAGACCAAUCUUCUGCAUGACGAACCAGACAUGGACAACAACUUUACCAACAUGUUAUUGAUUAAGGCCUGAUAUAGCGAUUCUUGCAGUAGCAAAAGGAUUAGUCAGUUUAUAUCAUUAUAAGUAUCCAACAGACAAUUUAGGUUUAUCACAACCAUGAAACUAUUAAGAUAGUAUCUUACAACUAAGACAGAGAUCUUCCUUCAUUACUGAACUAUGUACUAAGUGUGAGAGAUUAAGGGAGAGAUCUUCCUCUCACUCAACUACAACACAAUGACACAUGGUAUAGUUAUUGGAGGCAAGUUAAUUGUCUUUCGUUACAUGUACUAAAAUAUAGUAAGUGGGAUGUACCUAUUAAUAUUCUAUGAAUUUUGUGUAAUGUAUUUUGUGCUUCUUUCAA